This 800-nucleotide ribosomal RNA is filed under the name Staphylococcus saprophyticus. Its description in RNAcentral is "bacterial SSU rRNA". It matches the Rfam family "Bacterial small subunit ribosomal RNA", at positions 38 to 822 of the family's 1533-position model. The record is from RNAcentral. Lineage: Bacteria; Bacillati; Bacillota; Bacilli; Caryophanales; Staphylococcaceae.
GGCGGCGUGCUAUACAUGCAAGUCGAGCGAACAGAUAAGGAGCUUGCUCCUUUGACGUUAGCGGCGGACGGGUGAGUAACACGUGGGUAACCUACCUAUAAGACUGGGAUAACUUCGGGAAACCGGAGCUAAUACCGGAUAACAUUUGGAACCGCAUGGUUCUAAAGUGAAAGAUGGUUUUGCUAUCACUUAUAGAUGGACCCGCGCCGUAUUAGCUAGUUGGUAAGGUAACGGCUUACCAAGGCGACGAUACGUAGCCGACCUGAGAGGGUGAUCGGCCACACUGGAACUGAGACACGGUCCAGACUCCUACGGGAGGCAGCAGUAGGGAAUCUUCCGCAAUGGGCGAAAGCCUGACGGAGCAACGCCGCGUGAGUGAUGAAGGGUUUCGGCUCGUAAAACUCUGUUAUUAGGGAAGAACAAACGUGUAAGUAACUGUGCACGUCUUGACGGUACCUAAUCAGAAAGCCACGGCUAACUACGUGCCAGCAGCCGCGGUAAUACGUAGGUGGCAAGCGUUAUCCGGAAUUAUUGGGCGUAAAGCGCGCGUAGGCGGUUUCUUAAGUCUGAUGUGAAAGCCCACGGCUCAACCGUGGAGGGUCAUUGGAAACUGGGAAACUUGAGUGCAGAAGAGGAAAGUGGAAUUCCAUGUGUAGCGGUGAAAUGCGCAGAGAUAUGGAGGAACACCAGUGGCGAAGGCGACUUUCUGGUCUGUAACUGACGCUGAUGUGCGAAAGCGUGGGGAUCAAACAGGAUUAGAUACCCUGGUAGUCCACGCCGUAAACGAUGAGUGCUAAGUG